Molecule: ribosomal RNA, 428 nt
Filed under: uncultured bacterium
Lineage: Bacteria
Description: partial 16S ribosomal RNA
Rfam family: Bacterial small subunit ribosomal RNA
Source: RNAcentral
GUCGAGAAUCUUCCGCAAUGCGCGAAAGCGUGACGGAGCGACACCGCGUGAUGGAUGAAGUCCUUCGGGGCGUAAACAUCUUUUAUAAAGGAGGAAAUUUUUGACGUUACUUUAUGAAUAAGGGGCUCCCAAUCUCGUGCCAGCAGGAGCGGAAAUACGAGAGCCUCAAGCGUUAUCCGGAAUCAUUGGGCGUAAAGGGUGCGUAGGUGGAUUGAUUAGUCUCCCGUUAAAACUUCGAGCUUAACUCGAAAAGAGCGGGGGAAACGGUCAAACUAGAGUAUGUGAGAGGUGUGUGGAACUCAUGGUGUAGGGGUGAAAUCCGUUGAUAUCAUGGGGAACACCAAAAGCGAAGGCAGCACACUGGCACAUCACUGACACUGAGGCACGAAACCUAAGGUAGCGAAUGGGAUUAGAAACCCGAGUAGUCC